CGCUUAUCAAGAAAGGCAGAGGGAAAUGGCCCGAUGAAGCCUUGACAACCUGUUUUCUGUGGUAACACAGAAAGUAAGGUGCCAAAUCCAGCCCGUAAAAGGGAUAGAUAAGUC
RNAcentral lists this non-coding RNA (114 nucleotides) under Flavihumibacter sp. RNAcentral's name for it is "SAM-I sequence". It matches the Rfam family "SAM riboswitch aptamer (S box leader)". From Rfam's summary of the family: The SAM riboswitch is found upstream of a number of genes which code for proteins involved in methionine or cysteine biosynthesis in Gram-positive bacteria. The SAM riboswitch acts at the level of transcription termination control. The predicted structure consists of a complex stem-loop region followed by a single stem loop terminator region. Lineage: Bacteria; Pseudomonadati; Bacteroidota; Chitinophagia; Chitinophagales; Chitinophagaceae. The record is from RNAcentral.